CUGUUCAACGGCCGCGGUAUCCUAACCGUGCGAAGGUAGCGUAAUCACUUGUUCUUUAAAUGAGGACUAGUAUGAAUGGCAUCACGAAGGUUAUACUGUCUCCUCUUUCCAAUCAGUGAAACUAAUCUCCCCGUGAAGAAGCGGGGAUAACUUUAUAAGACGAGAAGACCCUAUGGAGCUUUAAACUAAGAAUCAACUGACUUUUCCACUUUUAAAUUCCAGAAAACUAACUUUUACCAAGACACUCUGAUUUCUAGUUUUAGGUUGGGGUGACCACGGAGUAAAAACUAACCUCCGCAAUGAACAGGGAUCUUCCCUUAACCAAGGACCACAACCCUAAGAAUCAACACAUUGACAUCAAUUGACCCAAAAAUUUGAUCAAUGAACCAAGUUACCCUAGGGAUAACAGCGCAAUCCACUUUAAGAGCCCUUAUCGACAAGUGGGUUUACGACCUCGAUGUUGGAUCAGGGUAUCCCAGUGGUGCAGCCGCUACUAAUGGUUCGUUUG
RNAcentral lists this ribosomal RNA (508 nucleotides) under Leptodactylus knudseni (Knudsen's thin-toed frog). RNAcentral describes it as "partial small subunit ribosomal RNA". It matches the Rfam family "Bacterial large subunit ribosomal RNA", at positions 1920 to 2579 of the family's 2925-position model. The record is from RNAcentral. Lineage: Eukaryota; Metazoa; Chordata; Amphibia; Anura; Leptodactylidae.